AAAGAUUUAGUUUAAAAAAAACAUAAAGUUGUCAACUAUAAAUUAUUUAUUUAAUAGUCUUUU
This 63-nucleotide transfer RNA is filed under the name Bolanusoides shaanxiensis. RNAcentral's name for it is "tRNA-Asp". Lineage: Eukaryota; Metazoa; Arthropoda; Insecta; Hemiptera; Cicadellidae. The record is from RNAcentral.